Molecule: ribosomal RNA, 412 nt
Filed under: Bacillota bacterium
Lineage: Bacteria; Bacillati; Bacillota
Description: Firmicutes bacterium partial 16S ribosomal RNA
Rfam family: Bacterial small subunit ribosomal RNA
Source: RNAcentral
UGGGGAAUCUUGCACAAUGGGCGGAAGCCUGAUGCAGCGACGCCGCGUGGGGGAUGACGGCCUUCGGGUUGUAAACUCCUUUCGCCAGGGACGAAGCCGUGAGGUUACGGUACCUGGAUAAGAAGCACCGGCCAACUACGUGCCAGCAGCCGCGGUAAUACGUAGGGUGCGAGCGUUGUCCGGAAUUACUGGGCGUAAAGAGCUCGUAGGUGGUUUGUCGCGUCGUCUGUGAAAUUCCGGGGCUUAACUCCGGGCGUGCAGGCGAUACGGGCAUAACUUGAGUGCUGUAGGGGAGACUGGAAUUCCUGGUGUAGCGGUGAAAUGCGCAGAUAUCAGGAGGAACACCGAUGGCGAAGGCAGGUCUCUGGGCAGUAACUGACGCUGAGGAGCGAAAGCAUGGGUAGCGAACAGG